This is a long non-coding RNA of Populus euphratica (Euphrates poplar), 436 nucleotides long. RefSeq lists it as uncharacterized. The record is from RefSeq and is a predicted model, not a curated record. NCBI's taxonomy places the organism in Eukaryota, Viridiplantae, Streptophyta, Magnoliopsida, Malpighiales, Salicaceae. The transcript has 2 exons.
GAAACAGAUGGUAAGAUUAAUUUAAAUGAAAUAUAUCAUUAAAUUCAGUUGUUGUUAAUAUAUCCUUUUUCAUUAUAGGCUGCGUCUCUUAGACGUGAGUCGAGCCCGAUGGAGCUGUUUGUGGAGACGCAUGUGCGGAGUCAAGACCGCCAGAAGGGGGUGUAACAGUUCGUUGAUAACCGUGCUCAACAUUUCGUGGUAUACCUAUAAUAAUCGGUUGAGGGAGAGAUACGGGGAUGAUAUUUUGACCCAUUUGGAAUUCGAUCCGGAUUUGUGGAUGUAGGUUGGCUUGUCAGGUGGACCCGAUAAAAAUCAGGUUUACGGGCUCUCCAACACUAUGGCCGAUAACUUGCGGUCGACCUGUAGUGUUUCAACCGUUGGGAGCUCCCAAUCUAAGGAGUUCGAGGCCUUGCAGCAACACAUGACUUAGCUUACC